This 497-nucleotide ribosomal RNA is filed under the name uncultured bacterium. Its description in RNAcentral is "partial 16S ribosomal RNA". It matches the Rfam family "Bacterial small subunit ribosomal RNA", at positions 28 to 507 of the family's 1533-position model. The record is from RNAcentral.
GAUGGACGCUGGCGGCGUGCCUAAUACAUGCAAGUCGAGCGAACGGACGAGAAUCUUGCUUCUCUGAUGUUAGCGGCGGACGGGUGAGUAACACGUGGAUAACCUACCUAUAAGACUGGGAUAACUUCGGGACACCGUAGCUAAUACCGGAUAAUAUUUUGAACCGCAUGGUUCAAAAGUGAAAGACGGUCUUGCUGUCACUUAUAGAUGGAUCCGCGCUUCAUUAGCUAGUUGGUAAGGUAACGGCUUACCAAGGCAACGAUGCAUAGCCGACCUGAGAGGGUGAUCGGCCACACUGGAACUGAGACACGGUCCAGACUCCUACGGGAGGCAGCAGUAGGGAAUCUUCCGCAAUGGGCGAAAGCCUGACGGAGCAACGCCGCGUGAGUGAUGAAGGUCUUCGGAUCGUAAAACUCUGUUAUUAGGGAAGAACAUAUGUGUAAGUAACUGUGCACAUCUUGACGGUACCUAAUCAGAAAGCCACGGCUAACUACGUG